CUGGCUACUGAUCCCAUUCUUACUAGUGCGGAUCUAAAAUAGAGGUAAUGCCCGGGACAACUCCCGUCUUCUAGCCUUGCUUUCCUGCCUCGCAAACAGAUAUUCAUGUCUUUGAAGUUCCCAGUUGAUUGUUUGAUUUAUUGUAUACUUACGCUUUAGUCUGUUUGUCGACAGUUCCAUCCCUAUUAGUAGGAGGGAAAGCCUAGGGGUUGUGUUUGCUCUACCGGACCACGCUUCAUUCCUGUAUGGAUUAGUAUUUGCUUCUAUUUUAUUAGCGAAACUAGGGCAAACAAGGUGCUGAAAGCCUGCCGCUACACUCUUUCGGUCCGGAUCCUGUGCUUUAAAUACAUACCUCUUUAGUCCCUACCUCUCUUUCAAGUAGUAAAUAAGGGCUUACUUUAAAUACCACUAAUAAUAGUUUACUACCCAACGGAUAAGUCAUAAUAGUUUACUAAGAUCUUUGUACUUAUUCGAAUCCUUCACCAAGAACAGAAAGAACGGAGAACCACUUAGCGCAUCAAAGUAUCCAAUUUCAGAAUCCUUAUUUGCUUGCGAGCGUAUAAGCACUAAAACACUAUGAACCUAUCCCUAUGACUUAGAAUCAAUCACUUCUAUCGGAGAAGCAGAAUAUCUAAUCCCCAAAGAACUACACUUUCCAUUUAUUCUUAUUAUAUGGUUUCGUUCUGUAUUUGUUUAUUGAUUGUUAAAUAGAAUUUCAUAGCACUAGGGAAGGGCGGACCAAUAGUAAUGAUAGUAAUAUUGAUAGAGGAAAGUGAGAAUCGAAGAGGGGAAAGCUGCCUGUCGGACCGGCGGUUCUUGCUAAGGUUAGCCUGUAUCAUUGACCCCUACCCCUAUUCUCUUGUAUUGCUCCUAGCCCUAUGUCUACUCGGGAUGGCGCCUAUAUAGAAUAGAACCUUUCCUGUCCGGAAACUCAAGGCAUCGCAGCUGACGCUGCCCUCGCAUCAAAG
This 968-nucleotide long non-coding RNA is filed under the name Musa acuminata (dwarf banana). RNAcentral describes it as "long non-coding RNA (MACU_LNC007539)". Lineage: Eukaryota; Viridiplantae; Streptophyta; Magnoliopsida; Zingiberales; Musaceae. The record is from RNAcentral.